RNAcentral lists this ribosomal RNA (1387 nucleotides) under Brenneria salicis. RNAcentral describes it as "bacterial SSU rRNA". It matches the Rfam family "Bacterial small subunit ribosomal RNA", at positions 56 to 1434 of the family's 1533-position model. Lineage: Bacteria; Pseudomonadati; Pseudomonadota; Gammaproteobacteria; Enterobacterales; Pectobacteriaceae. The record is from RNAcentral.
UGCAGUCGGGCGGUAGCACAGAGGAGCUUGCUCCUUGGGUGACGAGCGGCGGACGGGUGAGUAAAGUCUGGGGAUCUGCCUGAUGGAGGGGGAUAACUACUGGAAACGGUAGCUAAUACCGCAUGACGUCUUCGGACCAAAGUGGGGGACCUUCGGGCCUCACGCCAUGAGAUGAACCCAGAUGGGAUUAGCUGGUAGGUGAGGUAACGGCUCACCUAGGCGACGAUCCCUAGCUGGUCUGAGAGGAUGACCAGCCACACUGGAACUGAGACACGGUCCAGACUCCUACGGGAGGCAGCAGUGGGGAAUAUUGCACAAUGGGGGAAACCCUGAUGCAGCCAUGCCGCGUGUGUGAAGAAGGCCUUCGGGUUGUAAAGCACUUUCAGCGGGGAGGAAGGCAAUAAACUUAAUAAGUUUGUUGAUUGACGUUACCCGCAGAAGAAGCACCGGCUAACUCCGUGCCAGCAGCCGCGGUAAUACGGAGGGUGCAAGCGUUAAUCGGAAUGACUGGGCGUAAAGCGCACGCAGGCGGUCUGUUAAGUUGGAUGUGAAAUCCCCGGGCUCAACCCGGGAACAGCAUUCAAAACUGACAGGCUAGAGUCUCGUAGAGGGGGGUAGAAUUCCAGGUGUAGCGGUGAAAUGCGUAGAGAUCUGGAGGAAUACCGGUGGCGAAGGCGGCCCCCUGGACGAAGACUGACGCUCAGGUGCGAAAGCGUGGGGAGCAAACAGGAUUAGAUACCCUGGUAGUCCACGCCGUAAACGAUGUCGACUUGGAGGCUGUGGUCUUGAACCGUGGCUUCCGGAGCUAACGCGUUAAGUCGACCGCCUGGGGAGUACGGCCGCAAGGUUAAAACUCAAAUGAAUUGACGGGGGCCCGCACAAGCGGUGGAGCAUGUGGUUUAAUUCGAUGCAACGCGAAGAACCUUACCUACUCUUGACAUCCAGAGAAGACUGUAGAGAUACGGUUGUGCCUUCGGGAGCUCUGAGACAGGUGCUGCAUGGCUGUCGUCAGCUCGUGUUGUGAAAUGUUGGGUUAAGUCCCGCAACGAGCGCAACCCUUAUCCUUUGUUGCCAGCGAUACGGUCGGGAACUCAAAGGAGACUGCCGGUGAUAAACCGGAGGAAGGUGGGGAUGACGUCAAGUCAUCAUGGCCCUUACGAGUAGGGCUACACACGUGCUACAAUGGCGCAUACAAAGAGAAGCGAGCCUGCGAGGGUGAGCGGACCUCAUAAAGUGCGUCGUAGUCCGGAUUGGAGUCUGCAACUCGACUCCAUGAAGUCGGAAUCGCUAGUAAUCGUAGAUCAGAAUGCUACGGUGAAUACGUUCCCGGGCCUUGUACACACCGCCCGUCACACCAUGGGAGUGGGUUGCAAAAGAAGUAGGUAGC